This 492-nucleotide ribosomal RNA is filed under the name uncultured bacterium. RNAcentral describes it as "partial 16S ribosomal RNA". It matches the Rfam family "Bacterial small subunit ribosomal RNA", at positions 29 to 507 of the family's 1533-position model. The record is from RNAcentral.
AGUGAACGCUGGCGGUAGGCCUAACACAUGCAAGUCGAACGGCAGCACAGUAAGAUCUUGCUCUUACGGGUGGCGAGUGGCGGACGGGUGAGGAAUACAUCGGAAUCUACUUUUUCGUGGGGGAUAACGUAGGGAAACUUACGCUAAUACCGCAUACGACCUACGGGUGAAAGCAGGGGAUCUUCGGACCUUGCGCGAUUGAAUGAGCCGAUGUCGGAUUAGCUAGUUGGCGGGGUAAAGGCCCACCAAGGCGACGAUCCGUAGCUGGUCUGAGAGGAUGAUCAGCCACACUGGAACUGAGACACGGUCCAGACUCCUACGGGAGGCAGCAGUGGGGAAUAUUGGACAAUGGGCGCAAGCCUGAUCCAGCCAUACCGCGUGGGUGAAGAAGGCCUUCGGGUCGUAAAGCCCUUUUGUUGGGAAAGAAAAGCAGCAGGUUAAUACCCCGCUGUUCUGACGGUACCCAAAGAAUAAGCACCGGCUAACUUCGUG